RNAcentral lists this ribosomal RNA (371 nucleotides) under uncultured bacterium. RNAcentral describes it as "bacterial SSU rRNA". It matches the Rfam family "Bacterial small subunit ribosomal RNA", at positions 527 to 896 of the family's 1533-position model. RNAcentral also lists the same sequence under 1 other name. The record is from RNAcentral.
GGAGGGUGCGAGCGUUGUCCGGAAUCACUGGGCGUAAAGGGCGCGUAGGCGGCCUGAUAAGUAGGGGGUGAAAUCCUGCGGCUUAACCGCAGGGCUGCCUUCUAAACUGUCGGGCUCGAGCACAGUAGAGGCAGGUGGAAUUCCCGGUGUAGCGGUGGAAUGCGUAGAGAUCGGGAAGAACAUCAGUGGCGAAGGCGGCCUGCUGGGCUGUUGCUGACGCUGAGGCGCGACAGCGUGGGGAGCAAACAGGAUUAGAUACCCUGGUAGUCCACGCCGUAAACGAUGGGCACUAGGCGUCGGGGGGAGCGACCCUCCCGGUGCCGUCGCUAACGCAGUAAGUGCCCCGCCUGGGGAGUACGGCCGCAAGGCUG